AGGAAAGAUAUUACCCGACAACGUUGACAACCUAACCUACAGUGUGCCGACAGUGAAAAACUCGAAAGAUAAAACCUUCAAACGAAGGUUCCACUCUAGGGCGUGAACACCGGCUGGAAACCCCUCGAUCAGCUGAUCGGGCCUACACGUGUCGACCAAAGACGUCCCAUUAUCGAGUCCGUUUCGACCCUCGCGGUCCGAGCCCAACUCAAAAGCUCGCCGCCCGGCUGGUCUCGGAUAAACCGCCGCCACCGUCCGUUUAGUGACGGAGCAAACCGCCGCCGCCGUCCACCUAGCCACGUAACAAACCACCGUCGCCGCCCGUCCAGCGACGGAGCGCAUUCUUGUCGCCGCCGUCAGACACAAACGCACCGCUGUCUGAGGCCGCACGCCAUCUAGCAGCCGAUAGGCCACGAACGCUUACCGGCCAACGGUUCGAGGAGAGGAAUCACCCACCAGGAUCAUGCAACAAACGCGCGCAACGAGGAAAGCCCUGACUGCAGCUGCAUGUCGAAGACAGUGACGUACACAGUAAGCGAAAACCGAUACUAACCCCUCGCUAGGAAUAAACAUGUAGAAUUCCAAAACGUUCCUCAAUUAAACUGCAUGCUUGAAUGAAACGUCGAAUUGUGUAGUGGGAGGUUGGAUCAGAAACACGCUAUAUAAACCGUUUAUUUCUUUC
Long non-coding RNA from Aedes albopictus (Asian tiger mosquito), 682 nucleotides. RefSeq lists it as uncharacterized. Lineage: Eukaryota; Metazoa; Arthropoda; Insecta; Diptera; Culicidae. The transcript is spliced from 2 exons. The record is from RefSeq and is a predicted model, not a curated record.